GAUGAACGCUGGCGGCGUGCCUAAUACAUGCAAGUCGAACGCUGGAAAUCUAGCUUGCUAGAUUGAAGGAGUGGCGAACGGGUGAGUAAUACAUAAGCAACCUACCCACGAAGACUGGGAUAAUCUCUGGAAACGGGGACUAAUACCGGAUAGGUAAUCGGAAGGCAUCUUCUGAUUAUUAAAGGUUAAAAACACUGGUGGAUGGGCUUAUGGCGCAUUAGUUAGUUGGUGAGGUAACGGCCCACCAAGACGAUGAUGCGUAGCCGGCCUGAGAGGGUGAACGGCCACAUUGGGACUGAGACACGGCCCAGACUCCUACGGGAGGCAGCAGUAGGGAAUUGUCGGCAAUGGGGGAAACCCUGACCGAGCAACGCCGCGUGAGUGAUGACGGCCUUCGGGGUGUAAAGCUCUGUUGUAAGGGAAGAACGGUAGAUAGAGAAUAUCUAAAUGACGGUACCUUACCAGAAAGCCACGGCUAACUACGUG
Molecule: ribosomal RNA, 486 nt
Filed under: uncultured bacterium
Lineage: Bacteria
Description: partial 16S ribosomal RNA
Rfam family: Bacterial small subunit ribosomal RNA
Source: RNAcentral